RNAcentral lists this ribosomal RNA (814 nucleotides) under Fictibacillus phosphorivorans. RNAcentral describes it as "bacterial SSU rRNA". It matches the Rfam family "Bacterial small subunit ribosomal RNA", at positions 54 to 853 of the family's 1533-position model. The record is from RNAcentral. Lineage: Bacteria; Bacillati; Bacillota; Bacilli; Caryophanales; Fictibacillaceae.
CAUGCAAGUCGAGCGAAUGAUGAGGAGCUUGCUCCUCUGAUUUAUCGGCGGACGGGUGAGUAACACGUGGGUAAUCUGCCUGUAAGACGGGGAUAACUCCGGGAAACCGGGGCUAAUACCGGAUAAUAAGAGAAGAAGCAUUUCUUCUUUUUGAAAGUCGGUUUCGGCUGACACUUACAGAUGAGCCCGCGGCGCAUUAUCUAGUUGGUGAGGUAACGGCUCACCAAGGCGACGAUGCGUAGCCGACCUGAGAGGGUGAUCGGCCACACUGGGACUGAGACACGGCCCACACUCCUACGGGAGGCAGCAGUAGGGAAUCUUCGGCAAUGGGCGAAAGCCUGACCGAGCAACGCCGCGUGAGCGAUGAAGGCCUUCGGGUCGUAAAGCUCUGUUGUUAGAGAAAAACAAGUACGAGAGUAACUGCUCGUACCUUGACGGUACCUAACCAGAAAGCCACGGCUAACUACGUGCCAGCAGCCGCGGUAAUACGUAGGUGGCAAGCGUUAUCCGGAAUUAUUGGGCGUAAAGCGCGCGCAGGCGGUCUCUUAAGUCUGAUGUGAAAGCCCACGGCUCAACCGUGGAGGGUCAUUGGAAACUGGGAGACUUGAGUGCAGGAGAGAAAAGUGGAAUUCCACGUGUAGCGGUGAAAUGCGUAGAGAUGUGGAGGAACACCAGUGGCGAAGGCGGCUUUUUGGCCUGUAACUGACGCUGAGGCGCGAAAGCGUGGGGAGCAAACAGGAUUAUAUACCCUGGUAGUCCACGCCGUAACGAUGAGUGCUACGUGUUGGGGGGUUCCACCCUCACUGCUGAGGUU